Molecule: ribosomal RNA, 216 nt
Filed under: Glomeromycotina sp.
Lineage: Eukaryota; Fungi; Glomeromycota
Description: partial small subunit ribosomal RNA
Rfam family: Eukaryotic small subunit ribosomal RNA (bases 40-216)
Source: RNAcentral
GGGUCAGUAGGUUGGUCGUGCCACCGGUACGUACUGGUCUCACUGAUUCCUCCUUCCUGAAGAACCGUAAUGCCAUUAAUUUGGUGUUGCGGGGAAGCAGGACUGUUACUUUGAAAAAAUUAGAGUGUUUAAAGCAAGCUAACGCUUGAAUACAUUAGCAUGGAAUGAUGAAAUAGGACGAUCGAUCCUAUUUUGUUGGUUUCUAGGAUUGACGUA